AAAUUUUAGGGAGAUUUUGGAUUUCCAAAUCGACGUCAAUUCUUAAUUUCUUUUUGAGGUGUUCGUUAUCAUCUUCAAGAUUUUGCUGGUAAAGGUCGUGAUGUUGAAAAUACAAAAAAGUUGAUUAAUCUUCGUCAUGCAUUCUUGAGGAACCUAGUUGGGAAGAUAUUUAGUAUAUUUAAAUCUAGAUUCACAAUUUUCAAAAUAACUCCACCAUUUUCGUAUCGUACAUAAGUAGCGCUUGUAUUAGCUUAUAUACUAUUACACAACUUUCUUCAUAAAGGGUGUUGUUCCGACGAUUUUUCGAUUGAACUUGAUAAUGAGGAUUCUUCAUUUUCUUCAAUUAAUAAAGGGGAAGACUUUGGACCUUUGUUGAGAGUCAAGCACAAGGAGGGAGAAUGCCAAUGCCUGGAAGGCCACUUUAAUAGCUGAUAUGUGAAAUGAUGUUGGGAUUGUUUGAUAUAUAUAUAUAUUUUGGAAAGUGAAUUAGUGCUUCAGUUAGACAACAGCAACAAAGGCACGAGUGAAAACAGUUCGACGAUUGGUCUUUUCUUUUAGCGCUGCUUUCACAUGAUGCAAUAUCUAGGCUUCCUGGACUUGCUCUCUCGCCUUAUUAUUAUUAUUUUUUUGUGGAUCAUUGCUAAAAUACUAUUAAUGUUUUUGGUAUUUUGAUUAUUCGUCAAUCUAUUUGAUGUAACUUGAAUUUUUUUUUCUUUAAAGAAAAAAAUUUAUUGACAUGAAAAAUA
RNAcentral lists this long non-coding RNA (746 nucleotides) under Olea europaea subsp. europaea. The record is from RNAcentral. Lineage: Eukaryota; Viridiplantae; Streptophyta; Magnoliopsida; Lamiales; Oleaceae.